GCGAGGGUAGCGAAGCCUGGAAAACGCGCAGGACUUAAGAUCCUGUCUCUGAGUGAGUUCGUGGGUUCAAAUCCCUCCCCUCGCA
This 85-nucleotide transfer RNA is filed under the name Candidatus Woesearchaeota archaeon. RNAcentral describes it as "tRNA-Leu". It matches the Rfam family "tRNA". Rfam says of the family: Transfer RNA (tRNA) molecules are approximately 80 nucleotides in length. Their secondary structure includes four short double-helical elements and three loops (D, anti-codon, and T loops). Lineage: Archaea; Nanobdellati; Candidatus Woesearchaeota. The record is from RNAcentral.